This 216-nucleotide ribosomal RNA is filed under the name Glomeromycotina sp. RNAcentral describes it as "partial small subunit ribosomal RNA". The stretch from base 40 to 216 matches the Rfam family "Eukaryotic small subunit ribosomal RNA", at positions 686 to 864 of the family's 1831-position model. Lineage: Eukaryota; Fungi; Glomeromycota. The record is from RNAcentral.
GGGUCAGUAGGUUGGUCGUGCCACCGGUACGUACUGGUCUCACUGAUUCCUCCUUCCUGAAGAACCGUAAUGCCAUUAAUUUGGUGUUGCGGGGAAACAGGACUGUUACUUUGAAAAAAUUGGGGUGUUUAAAGCAAGCUAACGCUCGAAUACAUUAGCAUGGAAUAAUGAAAUAGGACGAUCGAUCCUAUUUUGUUGGUUUCUAGGAUUGACGUA